CUGAAGCGCUGAUCAAAGGAAAGGGCCUGACUGAAAAGUAACCAGCCAGCCUGUGGUGUUGGUCUGGAAGUCCUUCCUGGAGAGACUAUGGGGGGGAAAUGGAUUUGAAAGAAGGAAGCUGAAGGAGGAUGCAUACAGGAGCUGAGGUGACAUUCCAGUUGGUGGAAUUUGUUAUGGCUUCAUCUGCUACAUUAAAGAGCCUUCUGCUAUCAGACAUCUUCUCCCUAUUAUAGGAAAUUCCAUUAUUUUGAUUUUUUUCCCCAUUCCAC
This is a long non-coding RNA of Mauremys reevesii (Reeves's turtle), 269 nucleotides long. RefSeq lists it as uncharacterized. The record is from RefSeq and is a predicted model, not a curated record. The transcript is spliced from 4 exons. NCBI's taxonomy places the organism in Eukaryota, Metazoa, Chordata, Testudines, Geoemydidae.